AGCGGGAAGUAGCUCGCUACUUUUGCCGGCGAGCGGCGUACGGGUGAGUAAUGCCUGGGAAAUUGCCCAGUCGAGGGGGAUAACAGUUGGAAACGACUGCUAAUACCGCAUACGCCCUACGGGGGAAAGCAGGGGACCUUCGGGCCUUGCGCGAUUGGAUAUGCCCAGGUGGGAUUAGCUUGUUGGUGAGGUAAUGGCUCACCAAGGCGACGAUCCCUAGCUGGUCUGAGAGGAUGAUCAGCCACACUGGAACUGAGACACGGUCCAGACUCCUACGGGAGGCAGCAGUGGGGAAUAUUGCACAAUGGGGGAAACCCUGAUGCAGCCAUGCCGCGUGUGUGAAGAAGGCCUUCGGGUUGUAAAGCACUUUCAGCGAGGAGGAAAGGUUGAUACCUAAUACGUAUCAGCUGUGACGUUACUCGCAGAAGAAGCACUGUGCUAUCUCCCCGCCAGCAGCCGCGGUAAUAACGGAGGGUGCAAGCGUUAAUCGGAAUUACUGGGCGUAAAGCGCA
Molecule: ribosomal RNA, 512 nt
Filed under: uncultured bacterium
Lineage: Bacteria
Description: bacterial SSU rRNA
Rfam family: Bacterial small subunit ribosomal RNA
Source: RNAcentral